RNAcentral lists this long non-coding RNA (261 nucleotides) under Citrus maxima (pomelo). RNAcentral's name for it is "long non-coding RNA (CMAX_LNC002967)". Lineage: Eukaryota; Viridiplantae; Streptophyta; Magnoliopsida; Sapindales; Rutaceae. The record is from RNAcentral.
GGAAAUGGAAAAUUGUCCCUGAUCUAAGAGGUUCUGCAGAGAAAAUCAUGAUUGCAUUAUGAUAUCAUAUCACUACUACAAUAUUUAUCAUCACUACUACAUUAUGAUAUCAUAUCACUACUACAUUAUCAAUACUAUAGCUACUAAAUUGUUAAACCUCAGCCAAUAACAUGAAGCAAAAGGUGGCAAUGCGAAAUUGAUAUCCAGGGUACAAUCUUUUUUAUUUUUUUGGGAGAAUUAAUAAAUUAGCUGGCAUUCUUU